CAAAAGGUGAAGAGGCUCCAAGAAGCCUAAGCCUGACCCUCACCCUUGGGUGUUUUCUCCACUUGGAGACUCAGUUAACAGACACGCGCACACACCCGAGGAGGCGCGCCUCAGGGAGCAGUUCUUCAAGGCUGCAAAGCUGAGUGUUGAGGGACUCUCGUAAGAUUCACAGUUGGGUGAUGCUCGACAAGGUGACUGGGGAGGUUGCAAUAGCCUGCACCUGUAACUGUCAGUUUCCAGAAGGUGGCACAGGUGCCUCCCCCAACCCCCGAGGUCGUAAGGUCUUAACUGGGAAUCUCAGUGCUAGGAGUGCGUUACCUCCCCUGGGGUUGUUGGCUACAGAAGCCCUACAGGCCACUGAAACACGGGCCAUGGCCACUGUUGCUGGUUGCAUUCGGAGCUGCUGGUGAGACCCUGUUGCUGAGGUUGACAGUGUGGCCGCUGGACUUGGAGAAAUAAAUCUAGGAUGGGCCCGAAGCGUGCCCUGCCAGCGAGCUAACUCCUGUAAGUGUCAGCAGAUGCUAGGAACUGUGCCGGGGAGGAAUUAAGGGCUAAAGACGUAUCCAGCUGUGGGUCCUGCAGUCUUCACAAUGGAAGUGCCAGCUAGUGCAAUAGCGGUGCCAGCGGUUAUGAUGGACCGAAGGCUCGCUCCACAGGAGGUUGCUCCUGGCAAUCAGGCCAAACCCUGUGACCAGGGAGUCACCAGCUCCAGCAGGGAAGCAACUGCCCUGGAUUGGAUGAGGAUUUUUCAAGAGGACCAGAGAAGCAUGUGAGCCGUGCUGACUGAAGCCCUCCACCUCCACCUUUAUCCCUGUCUAAAGUGGGGGCCCCCGGUAGGUCUCGUCUAUGGACAGACAGCUUGAAUUCUAGGGGCAGAUCCCAACAGACUCCUGCGCAGCAGCUCUUUCCUCCCAGCUCGCCACCAUACUAAGGUGCCCAGUGCCAUCCUUGCUGCGCUGCCCUUUAACAGCAGACGGGAGCCAUGGCCUCAGGCACCUCCUGUGCUAUGUAACAAUCAGUGUAAAAACAACCAGGACAAGGUAAUCCAGCAGCUUCCCCGGGGUUUCAGUUCAGACUCUAUGGUGAGAGAGGAUCAUGGUGGGGUAGACUCAUGACAAGACCGACAAGCACUGAAGAACAAACUGUGAAGAACUCACGGUGAUGCUGUUUCCAAAUGGCCUCAUUCUCCACAGCUUGAGCACAAGCUUCUCAAGAGAAGCCCCGAAUCACAAACUCUGGGGACUU
Long non-coding RNA from Meriones unguiculatus (Mongolian gerbil), 1245 nucleotides. RefSeq lists it as uncharacterized. The transcript has 3 exons. The record is from RefSeq and is a predicted model, not a curated record. Lineage: Eukaryota; Metazoa; Chordata; Mammalia; Rodentia; Muridae.